Molecule: ribosomal RNA, 87 nt
Filed under: Novacetimonas pomaceti
Lineage: Bacteria; Pseudomonadati; Pseudomonadota; Alphaproteobacteria; Acetobacterales; Acetobacteraceae
Source: RNAcentral
CCGAUCCCAUCCCGAACUCGGACGUGAAAAACCCCAGCGCCCAUGAUACUGUGCCUCAAGGCACGGGAAAGUCGGUCGCCGCCAGAU